Molecule: ribosomal RNA, 278 nt
Filed under: uncultured bacterium
Lineage: Bacteria
Description: partial 16S ribosomal RNA
Rfam family: Bacterial small subunit ribosomal RNA
Source: RNAcentral
GCCUACGGGGCGCAGCAGUGGGGAAUAUUGCACAAUGGGGGAAACCCUGAUGCAGCAACGCCGCGUGAAGGAAGACGGUUUUCGGAUUGUAAACUUAUAUCAAUAGGGAAGAAAGAAAUGACGGUACAUAAAUAAGAAGCCCCGGCUAACUACGUGCCAGCAGCCGCGGUAAUACGUAGGGGGCAAGCGUUAUCCGGAUUUACUGGGUGUAAAGGGAGCGUAGACGGCUGUGCAAGUCUGAAGUGAAAGCCCAGGGCUCAACCCUGGGACUGCUUUGG